This 76-nucleotide transfer RNA is filed under the name Micromonosporaceae bacterium. RNAcentral's name for it is "tRNA-Arg". It matches the Rfam family "tRNA". From Rfam's summary of the family: Transfer RNA (tRNA) molecules are approximately 80 nucleotides in length. Their secondary structure includes four short double-helical elements and three loops (D, anti-codon, and T loops). The record is from RNAcentral. Lineage: Bacteria; Bacillati; Actinomycetota; Actinomycetes; Micromonosporales; Micromonosporaceae.
CUCCCGCUAGCUCAAUGGACAGAGCGCCGCCCUCCUAAGGCGGGUGUCCCCGUUCGAGUCGGGGGGCGGGAGACCA